GGUGCGAUGCCCGAGUGGUUAAGGGGUUAGUCUUGAAUCAUGUAUUUCAACGGUCGUGCUUCACGCUGAUAACUAAUUCGCUAUGCGAGCGUCGGUUCGAACCCGACUCGCACCG
RNAcentral lists this transfer RNA (115 nucleotides) under Sporisorium scitamineum. Its description in RNAcentral is "transfer RNA-Ser(TGA)". It matches the Rfam family "tRNA". Rfam says of the family: Transfer RNA (tRNA) molecules are approximately 80 nucleotides in length. Their secondary structure includes four short double-helical elements and three loops (D, anti-codon, and T loops). Further hydrogen bonds mediate the characteristic L-shaped molecular structure. tRNAs have two regions of fundamental functional importance: the anti-codon, which is responsible for specific mRNA codon recognition, and the 3' end, to which the tRNAs corresponding amino acid is attached (by aminoacyl-tRNA synthetases). tRNAs cope with the degeneracy of the genetic code in two manners: having more than one tRNA (with a specific anti-codon) for a particular amino acid; and 'wobble' base-pairing, i.e. permitting non-standard base-pairing at the 3rd anti-codon position. Lineage: Eukaryota; Fungi; Basidiomycota; Ustilaginomycetes; Ustilaginales; Ustilaginaceae. The record is from RNAcentral.